This is a long non-coding RNA of Hyaena hyaena (striped hyena), 1319 nucleotides long. RefSeq lists it as uncharacterized. The transcript is spliced from 2 exons. The record is from RefSeq and is a predicted model, not a curated record. NCBI's taxonomy places the organism in Eukaryota, Metazoa, Chordata, Mammalia, Carnivora, Hyaenidae.
AAUAAAGAAAGAAAAUUGACCUAGUUAUCAAGUACCCUUCCCACAAGUACUCUUCCCUCGCCUUCUGCACUGCCACAAUCUCCUGGGUUUUCUCCUAAGGUUACCGGCUCCUCUUCUACCUCUCCAAGUAGAGGCGCUCUUGAGGGCUGUCCCGGGCCUUUCCCAAAUGGGUAUUGUCUCCACCAGGCAACCUCCUCUAUGCUCCUCCUCCAUUUUCAUCUCCCCGACACGAAUCUAGGUCACAAACUUUCAGCUCAGGCUUUCAUUUGGUGAUCCAAACAGGCACAUCCCACCAUCUGCUGCGCUUCUCCAUUAGAGGGUCCCAGAGACUGUACAGGUCUAAAACCGCACUAUUUCCCCAAAUCUGCUUCUCCUGUGUUCUCUUCCAUUAUGUCGUUCCGGAUCAUUCACCUAGCGUCAGCCCAGAAGCCUGGGAGUCAUCCAACUCCGCAUUUUCCACACACCCAUUCCACUGCCAUCUACCUUCCAACUCUCUCUCUCUCUCUAUCCCUCCCUCCUCUGUGCACCAUGCCGAGGCCCUAACCCAAGUAACCAAAGUCGGACAAGCCUCUGAAGAUGCCAAAGACCAGCUGUGCCCAGGUACUAAGUGCUUAGUUCUCCCAAGGCCUCCGCUUUGCUGUCCAACGCUAGCUUAGAACAGCUAGGGAGGGAAAGCGCCUGGUCCCGUUCACUGGCUCCUGGCCCAUCCACAGUGCCUGGCACCACCGAAGUCGGUAAAUACUCGUUAGAACAACAGAAGGACAGCCAAAAAGAGGGUUCACCCACUCUGUGGGUGCCGCUGGAGCUCAGAGCCUGAGAGGUGGAAUCCCCAUCCGCCACACACAACAUGGCGGCGACCUACGUCUGUGUCCCACUUCCGCUUCCGGUGCCGAAACGCCUCACUUCCUCUCCGGUUGCUCUGGAGCCCUUUGGAAGCUGAGAAUGCGAGGAGUGUCUGCUCCAUUCCCCUUCCAGAUGUUGGUUUCUGCUGCAGCGCAGUCUGACCGAGCGGCUUCGAGGCUCUGUCUCCAGGGGCUUGCUGACACCGUGGAAUCCCCCAGGUAGCUGAGAAACUCAUGGAAUCUUCUUACUGGUACAGCUUUCACUAUUGCUUGUGUUACGGUGUGAGGUAAAGGCUAGAAGACAUUUCUCAAGUGCACUGUUAACCUCUACAGCACACUGCACCUUGACUUCUGACAGUCAAGAGAGGCAGGUUCGCACAAUUGUGUGCAGCAUAGAAAGGACAGCUCAUCUGAUAACGGGAACGUAGCUUUUAUGCUAAUAAAAUGCUUUUUAAAUUAGUGUGUGGUUUUUAGUAA